CAGCAGCCACGGUAAUACGAAGGGGGCUAGCGUUGUUCGGAAUUACUGGGCGUAAAGCGCACGUAGGCGGAUAUUUAAGUCAGGGGUGAAAUCCCAGAGCUCAACUCUGGAACUGCCUUUGAUACUGGGUAUCUUGAGUAUGGAAGAGGUGAGUGGAAUUCCGAGUGUAGAGGUGAAAUUCGUAGAUAUUCGGAGGAACACCAGUGGCGAAGGCGGCUCACUGGUCCAUUACUGACGCUGAGGUGCGAAAGCGUGGGGAGCAAACAGGAUUAGAUACCCCUGUAGUCCCUGUCUCUUAUAC
Molecule: ribosomal RNA, 301 nt
Filed under: uncultured bacterium
Lineage: Bacteria
Description: partial 16S ribosomal RNA
Rfam family: Bacterial small subunit ribosomal RNA
Source: RNAcentral